This is a non-coding RNA of Pelodiscus sinensis (Chinese soft-shelled turtle), 2090 nucleotides long. The record is from RefSeq and is a predicted model, not a curated record. Lineage: Eukaryota; Metazoa; Chordata; Testudines; Trionychidae.
CUAAGGUAAACCAAGGGAAGGACAAGGAAAAGGCUUUUCAGAUUUGGGCCCAAGUUGAACAGCUCUAAUACUAAAUACUAUUACUAAAUACUAAAUACUAUUAAAAGCGCAUAGCAAACUUCUGAACUAUGUGUAUCUCUGACUGGAUUGUAUCUAAAAUGGGGUAUAAAUAGAAUAUCCUAGGAAAACUAUAUUUACCUGGAGCCAGUGAACAAUCAUUUGUUUUCUAUGAUUGAAGGAAAGUAUAAUUUGGUCAAUUUUCUUGAGAGGGCUGAAAUAUAGUCACUCAGCCAUUUGUCCUACAGCCAGUCUUUACAUUCUGAGUCAAUUAAAGGAACGGCAUUAACUCAUUAAAAGUCAGGAAGCUGAAAAGCAAACACAAAAGAGAUCGGCCUGCUGUCCCUUUAACAAAGCUCCUCUGUUUUACAGCAGAAAGCAAGAGGAAAGCACUGCACCUGAGAUCUACAUUAUUGAAACAGACCCAGCUACUGAAGACAAGCGACCUAAGAGAAUUUUAGUUUUCAUUUAAAUAAAAAGUCAUGUCCUACCCCUCCUGAUGGUGAAGAAAAGCCUGGAAAUAUGACCUGCCAUCAGGCUCAGGACCCAGAAGUUAAAGCAUUUCUGUGCUACCAGUGCAGAAUUUCUACGCAUAUCACACUGGAGCUGUAUCAAGCAUCCAUGCCAUCUGUCGGUUGAGUUGUGACUCAUCAGCCCACGUAUCCAAUGAGGCUCUGUUUUCAGUGGAAGGCUAAUAUUCUGGAAUGCAGAAGUAACUGACUAAUUGGGCCCAAUAGUAAAUUUCAUGCUUCAUUCAAGUAUUUUUAUAGAAAAAAAAUAGCAUUUGUCGGUUUUCUUUUUUCCCCCUUCUCCUGUCUUUUUUUAAUUGGUUUUCAUUCAUCAAGUAUUUCCUUGCAAAGAAAAUGGUGACUGGAUAAGAAGUCAAUGCAGAAUUGUUUGCAAAUGAACUUAAUGGAGAACAGAAUUACACAAAGACCGAAUGUGCAGCCUUACUAUGUAUUAAAACGUGAUUUGUUUGUUUGUUUGUUUGUUUUCAAACUAUUAACCAAAGGAAUUUGUCCAAUUUAGUUUUCAGCUUGGUCCAUAAAUUAAUAAGCAUUCUGACUAAAAAGCAUAAUUAAACCAAGAGAAAAUGCAAAUCAGAUGAUGCAAUGUGCUGUGACUGGAAUACCAUUUUGCAACCGAAUGGCAUACACAGGCAACACAAAUUAUUAAUGCAUGGUUUAAUUCUCUGGACUACCAAAAGAAAUAUGAAGACUUUGCUGUUAUGUUUGCAAUAAGUGUCUGCUAGGAAAGUCAGUGCAAAUAGCAGCAUGCUCUGCAGCAUAAGAAUUGCUCCUUACAGUGUUUUUUCUUAUAUGGAGAAUCGAAGAAACCAUUCUACUGCACUCUGCUUUUGAGAGUUAGAUAUUAAACCUGCCUCCUCUAUACUGGACUUCUCAGCUUGAACUCACACCAGUCUUCUAGCUCGUUAUACAGAAUAAUCAACAGGAAGCAGUUUUAUCCAAAUGGUACAUUCUUAAUGUUACAGCCAUUCCUGGUGAGCAUGUGCCUUAAAAAUGAUUAGUCCUGCCUUUGUGAUUGUGUUUGUGCACCAGUAUUAUCUACUGCAAAACCACAAAACAGAUCAUAUUGUUCUGUGUAUUUCUAAUGGGGGUGACACUGGCAAAUGGGUGAUUACUAUUUUUUUCAUGUGGUGGACUCUGUUGAAAUGUUACUGAAAGCUGUUUGAAAAUGUAACCUAUUUGUUAGUCGUAUUUCAACAAACUCUAACUUACUUUCAUCGUACAAUGCCUCUAUAUGUGAAUUACAAUACUGGUCAUAUGACCAUAUGGUGCAGAAGUAGUCUGACUGCACUCCCAGGAAAGUCAAUGGGAGAUUUGCCACUGAGCUCAAGGGAAGCAGGACUGGGUACUGUAUGGUAGUCUUGUGACCUCUGAAAUAAAAGUGAAAGCACGAAGACUAUUGUCAGAAUCACUUGUGGAUACCUGGCAGUCUGUUAACUUGACAGAGCAACAUAGAAUCAUAGACCAUUAGAACUGGAAGGCAUCUCAAGAGGUCAAGUCCAGUCC